This is a long non-coding RNA of Macaca mulatta (Rhesus monkey), 4770 nucleotides long. NCBI's taxonomy places the organism in Eukaryota, Metazoa, Chordata, Mammalia, Primates, Cercopithecidae. The record is from Ensembl.
AUGACCACCAUCACCACUGCCAUCACCAUCACCACCAUCACCAUCACCAUCACACCAUCACCACAACCAUCACAGCAGACCCAUCGUUCUUCCUUUUUUUCUUUUCCAGUUGAAGCUGCAGUAUUUCAGAUCCAACUGGAAUCACAGGGAUUUCUUGUUUGACUCCUCCCUGAAAUCCUGGAAGAAUCUGGAGUCGGCAGAAGUGUACAUGUUGCAAAAAUCACAGAAUCAUGUGAGGAAUGAAAGGAAGGCCCCCUUUUUCCACCCUGACUCCAACAGUCCCACUGCUCAAAGGACCCCAGUUUCCAGGAGAUCAGGUUUUAACCAGUCUCACCUGUGGGCUUCAUUUCCUCAAAUGGGUCCAGACUGUCAUGUGAUCUUGGGCAGGGGUUUGUUCUCAUUCUCACAUAUGUCUCCAUCACCAUAUGCCCGUUUGGACUUUGACCGGCUGCAAGAAUCAGAGUGUCUGAAAACUAGUAGACUUACACAGCCACCCGCAGAGCUGUCCUGCAGGUCCUGCUCAAAGCAGGAAGAGGUCCCCAAGCCUUCUUUUCUGGUGCCUUCUGACACCACAUACUGCAAGUACUCCAGCACUUCCCUGGCUUUGGGAACUCAAAGGGUCUACUGGGAGCAAGACAGAAUUAGUGUUGAGGACUUAGCACCCGUAGGGUAGCCUCCACUCAGUGACUGUUGGGACCUGGUGGAUCAAUACCCCAGCUCCCUGGCCCAAGUUGCUCACAACAGUAACUUGCUUGAUGCCACACCCUUUGCUGACUUUCUUCCAUUCCCCGUCUCACUUCCCCUACCAGUGCCUCCUGGGUUCGCCUCCCAAAUAGAUGACUUACAUUCAAAUCUUUAUUUUAUGUUGGCUUUGGAGGGGACCCAACUUAAGGCGGGGUUCCCAACCCUCUUUUGUGAGGUGCGACAGCUGGUUAGGGGCAGUCCUGCAAUGACAAGCCUACCCCCUGCUGAUCACUGGCAUCACCCCCCGUCAUGCUUAGAACAAUUGCACAGGUGGUUGACCGGUGGGGCAGUGAGGCUCAGAGAAGUUAAACGGCUUCUCCAAGCACAACAGCAAAUGCACUUAGUUCUGAAAAUUUUUUCCCAGCAAUUUCCUUCCACCUAACAGAUACACAUCUGAAGGUUGUGAAAGAAUUCAUCAUCAUGUCAGCUCCACAAACAUGUAUUAAAGGUGUACAAGGUUCCAGGCCCCAUGCUGGGCCCUGGAGACCCAAGGUGAAUCAGCAAGGAGGUGCGUCCAUUGGGGAGACAGAUGUAAAAACCACUGCAUCAGGGCAGUAUCAGCCAACUCAACACACCACAGGACAAAGGCCAAAAACGUAACUAGGAAGUACAGAGAAGAAAGAGCUGAGAGAAAGCACAGGUUUGAGAGGGUGUGGGGAGGUGAGGAUGGGUGUUCCGAGAGCAAGAACAGCAUGUGCAAAGGCCCUGAGGCCAGACCAGGAGAGAUGGGGGAAGAGUGUCUGAUUACUAGGAGAAUGUCUUGGAUGGAUGAAAAUGUAAGGUGGGCUCAGAUGAGACAGGGCUACAGAGAGGAGAACCAGGGAAGAGGCUUUUCUGGCCUGAACUGGGCACAGACUGUGGAGAUGGUGAGGAGAAUGUGAAUUCAACACAUUUUAAAGAGAUGGGGAACAGACGCAGUGGCUCACGCCUGUAAUCCCAGCACUUUGGGAGGCCGAGGCGGGCAGAUCACUUAAGACCAGGAGUUCAAGACCAGCCUGGCCAACAUGGUGAAACCCCAUCUCUACUAAAAAUACAAAAAUUAGCUGGGCGUGGCAGCACUUGCCUGUCCCAGCUACUCGGGAGACUGUGACAGGCGAAUCGCUUGCACCUGGGAAGCGGAGGUUGCAGUGAGCCCUGAUCGUGCCACUGCACUCCAGCCCAGAGGUAAAUGGGCAGGGACUGCCUAGAGUGCUCCGUGGUCCUAGCAAAGUCUUGCUGGCUCUUGUAGUGAUCUCAGUGGCAUGCACAGAGUUCCAGAACUUCAGAGCACCUCUUUUUGGUAAGGGGGCAGCAUCCUGACCUCUACCCGCCGAAGCAUGCGCCUGUCCUGGUCACAUGCUGGAUUAACCUGUAAGCCUAUUAACCAUGGCUCAACAUCCUCCGCCACCUUGAAAGGAGCCCCAGAGCUCCCUGGUUAGGGAGAGAGUUCCCAGCCUGGUCCCGAGGAUGGCCACGUCUCACCUGGCCCUGAGCCACUGUCACAGGCAGUGGGGCAUGACUCUCCAGUUGUCUGGAGCCUUUACCUUGACCCUGAGUGACCUGAGGGAGCCAAGCCCGACGGCAGCAGUGACCGCUGCUGAGUCAUCUGGCCCCCAAGACACCCAAGGGUCCCUGGGCACCCACGCUGUGUUAGCUUCAUGCAGAGGUCUCAGUGCUCACAAGGACCUUACUGCAAGCUCUGAAGCCCCAGGGCCGUGUGGACGGCUACAGAACCUCAUCUGACCAGGCUUCCCCCAAGAACAGAGCCAACCCCCAAAAUUCUGGAGAGAAGUCUUCCCUGACCAAGUCCAGAGCUGCUGGGUUGUGUCCCGUCCAGGCAAAGCCAGCUCCAAGCACUUUCCCUCUGGAGCAGCAUGAAGGGCAGAGGGGGAACUGCAGGCCAGGCUGACCUGGAAACCAGCCUCCAUCCUGCCCCUGGGCCUGGGGUUGGGACAGGGCCUCUUUCAGAGGCCUCGGGGGCAACUGUUCCUGGUGGGUUCCCACAGGUGCCCUCAGCACCCACAGGACAUCAGGGCGUGGCAGGAAGCUGGGGCUUCCCUCUUCCCUUGCUGCUGCAUCAGUGUCACUUGGGAGUUCCUUAGAAAUGUAGAAUCUCAGAUCCCAAGCCAGACCUCCAGAACCAGAAUCUGCAUUUACUAAGAGCCCCAAGUGAUCCGUGUGCCCACUGAAGUUUAAUACGCCCUGGCUUUGACCACUCUCCACAGCCACGACUGUUCCACACCUUCUGUCUCCUCAGAAGGAGUUUCCAGGAAGGGCUUUGUGCUUAUUUCCACGUCUGCCUCUCCGUCAAAAUAUAAGCUUCUUAUGGAUGGGAAUGUGUAUCCCUAAAGCUUUCGGUGCCUGAGCCCUGCCUGCACACUGGAGGUGCCUACUCAGUGCUUGCGGAAUAAGCGAGGGGAUGUGUGUCACCAUGCAGACUGGCAGCGCGCCAGGGCCAAGUCCCUUUCUAUCCUCUGCAUCAUCAGGCAAUGGAACAAGGAACAGAGUGGCAUGUGAGAGCAAAGAGAUGUGCCACCCCUGCCACAGCGCGCUAGGAUUUGUUCUCUGCACAGACAACUGGAGAGGCAGAAGCCUGGGGGCCUACAUUCCCCCACCCCCCUUCCCACUCUCCCCGACACACGUGCCUUUGCCCUGGCGGCAGGUAGGUUUCAGACCCUUCUCUUCAUUGGUCUCGACCCAGCUACAGACUGAGCUCACUUAGCCACUUCUUUGCCAACUAAGAAUCCUGCCCUUAAGGAACCUACUGGGUGACAUCGCCCAAGAGAUGCAGGAACCCGAAGCUCUGGGUCACACAGGUCUCCUGACCACUUGCUCUCUGUUUUCCAGGGACAUGGAGGGGCUCGGGGUUCAGGAUGGCUGAUGGGGCACUCAUUUAUCUCCCCCAGCCAAAUCCAAGUGGAUCAAAGAAGGAAAUAGUCUGGCAGUCCCAGAGCAGCAUGGGAAAGCUGAGAAAUGGAAAACUAGGGAAAGAAUCUGCAUAAGACAUAAAGGUCAUGGGACAGACAGACAAUGAAACCCACAGACCAAGGGACCCACACCCCAUGCAGGAGGGAAAGGAGGCCCCAACCCCUGAACCUUCCUAGGAGGACAGCACUAGGUGAGAGGCUGCAGGGUGGGCACAGGCCAAGGACAUCUGAGUAAUUAACAGUGUCAGGGUGAGCAGAUUGACUGUGUCCCACCCUUCCUCCACCAAACACCACUUGGCAUUGAAUUCCAUGUUUGCCUGGAGGUCAAGGCGCAAGAACAGCUAAAUGGAGUUCUGAAACUGCGUACUAGGCCAGAGAAAAAGGGCAGCACCCCAGGUAACUUAAGCGUCCCAUAGGGAAGCAGAACCCUUUACUCAGAAAAUCAGAUCCACCAGCUCCUCUUGGCCACAGGCCUCUUUCACUUGCCCACAUGUCACAAUUACUGUAGAUAGGGCUCUCCAGCACAAAGAUUUCUUGCAUGGCUAAGCCAACAGGAAUUCCCACUUAGCCUGAGGAAGGACAUUCUAGGAAACAACAAUUUUGUCCAGAUCCCUCCCCGCACCAUCUUCAAAUAUGAAGAGACAACCAAGAAACACUAAAAAUGCAAUAAUCCAAUGCACCAAAAGAGAGACACCAAACUCGACAAACAAAAGAACCAACACAGGAGGCCGAUGAAGUAAUGCUGUAAACAGAAGAAAAAGGUAAAACAGCUGUACUUUCUACUUCCCGGGAAAUUUGAGAGGACAUCUAUCUUUUAAAAGAAACAGGUUCCUGAGAAAAGGAAACCUUUUCGGUUUUGGAAAUUGCCAACUUGAUGGACAAAUUCUGAAACCACUAAUUAGCAGAUUGAAUAAUGAGGGGAAUACAGUGACCUGGAAGUUCUUGACAAAGGAGUUUCCUGGAACCCAGUGCAAAAGCACAGAGAGAUGAAAAGGAAGAAAAGAAAGGACCUCUGAGCUGAAGAAGAUGGAAAUGUUUAGACUACAAUGUCCCAGUAGCUUUGGGUAGCAAGGAUGAAAAAUUGGCACGUGCCUGGUGAAAUGUCUAAACUCCAAGAAUG